Molecule: ribosomal RNA, 436 nt
Filed under: uncultured bacterium
Lineage: Bacteria
Description: bacterial SSU rRNA
Rfam family: Bacterial small subunit ribosomal RNA
Source: RNAcentral
GAACGCGAAGAACCUUACCAGCUUUUGACAUGUCACGUUUGGUCGCCAGAGAUGGCUUCCUUCAGUUCGGCUGGCGUGAACACAGGUGCUGCAUGGCUGUCGUCAGCUCGUGUCGUGAGAUGUUGGGUUAAGUCCCGCAACGAGCGCAACCCUCGUCCUUAGUUGCCAUCAUUCAGUUGGGCACUCUAGGGAGACUGCCGGUGAUAAGCCGGAGGAAGGUGGGGAUGACGUCAAGUCCUCAUGGCCCUUACAGGCUGGGCUACACACGUGCUACAAUGGCGGUGACAAUGGGAUGCGGAGGGGCGACCCCGAGCAAAUCUCAAAAAGCCGUCUCAGUUCGGAUUGUACUCUGCAACUCGAGUGCAUGAAGGUGGAAUCGCUAGUAAUCGUAGAUCAGAACGCUACGGUGAAUACGUUCCCGGGUCUUGUACACACC